This 793-nucleotide ribosomal RNA is filed under the name uncultured bacterium. Its description in RNAcentral is "bacterial SSU rRNA". It matches the Rfam family "Bacterial small subunit ribosomal RNA", at positions 8 to 798 of the family's 1533-position model. The record is from RNAcentral.
AGAGUUUGAUCAUGGCUCAGAUUGAACGCUGGCGGCAUGCCUAACACAUGCAAGUCGAACGGUAACAGGCCUUCGGGCGCUGACGAGUGGCGGACGGGUGCGUAACGCGUGGGAAUCUGCCCAAUAGUGGGGGAUAACCCGGGGAAACUCGGGCUAAUACCGCAUACUCCCCAUGGGGGAAAGCGGGGGACCGCAAGGCCUCGCGCUAUUGGAUGAGCCCGCGUCCGAUUAGCUAGUUGGUGGGGUAAAGGCCUACCAAGGCGACGAUCGGUAGCUGGUCUGAGAGGACGACCAGCCACACUGGGACUGAGACACGGCCCAGACUUCUACAGGAGGCAGCAGUGGGGAAUAUUGGACAAUGGGGGAAACCCUGAUCCAGCAAUGCCGCGUGUGUGAAGAAGGCCUGCGGGUUGUAAAGCACUUUCGGCGGGAAAGAAAAGUCGCGCGUUAAUACCGUGCGGCCUUGACGUUACCCGCAAAAGAAGCACCGGCUAACUCCGUGCCAGCAGCCGCGGUAAUACGGAGGGUGCAAGCGUUAAUCGGAAUUACUGGGCGUAAAGAGCUCGUAGGUGGUUUGUCGCGUUGUUCGUGAAAACUCACAGCUUAACUGUGGGCGUGCGGGCGAUACGGGCAGACUAGAGUACUGCAGGGGAGACUGGAAUUCCUGGUGUAGCGGUGGAAUGCGCAGAUAUCAGGAGGAACACCGGUGGCGAAGGCGGGUCUCUGGGCAGUAACUGACGCUGAGGAGCGAAAGCGUGGGGAGCAAACAGGAUUAGAUACCCCGGUAGUCCAA